This 72-nucleotide transfer RNA is filed under the name Pelobates cultripes (western spadefoot toad). Its description in RNAcentral is "tRNA.Cys". It matches the Rfam family "tRNA". From Rfam's summary of the family: Transfer RNA (tRNA) molecules are approximately 80 nucleotides in length. Lineage: Eukaryota; Metazoa; Chordata; Amphibia; Anura; Pelobatidae. The record is from RNAcentral.
GGGGGUAUACCUCAGUGGUAGAGCAUUUGACUGCAGAUCAAGAGGUCCCUGGUUCAAAUUUGGGUGCCCCCU